GACGAACGCUGGCGGCGUGCUUAACACAUGCAAGUCGAACGAUGAACCCGGAGCUUGCUCCGGCGGAUUAGUGGCGAACGGGUGAGUAACACGUGAGUAACCUGCCCUUGACUCUGGGAUAACUGCUAGAAAUGGUAGCUAAUACCGGAUACGACCCUCGGUGGCAUCACCAGGGGGUGGAAAGAAUUUCGGUCAAGGAUGGACUCGCGGCCUUUCAGCUAGUUGGUGAGGUAACGGCUCACCAAGGCGACGACGGGUAGCCGGCCUGAGAGGGUGACCGGCCACACUGGGACUGAGACACGGCCCAGACUCCUACGGGAGGCAGCAGUGGGGAAUAUUGCACAAUGGGCGCAAGCCUGAUGCAGCAACGCCGCGUGAGGGAUGACGGCCUUCGGGUUGUAAACCUCUUUUAGUAGGGAAGGAGCGAAAGUGACGGUACCUGCAGAAAAAGCACCGGCUAACUACGUGCCAGCCGCCGCCGUAA
RNAcentral lists this ribosomal RNA (484 nucleotides) under uncultured bacterium. Its description in RNAcentral is "partial 16S ribosomal RNA". It matches the Rfam family "Bacterial small subunit ribosomal RNA", at positions 28 to 523 of the family's 1533-position model. The record is from RNAcentral.